This 445-nucleotide ribosomal RNA is filed under the name Serratia sp. HRI. RNAcentral describes it as "bacterial SSU rRNA". It matches the Rfam family "Bacterial small subunit ribosomal RNA", at positions 338 to 795 of the family's 1533-position model. Lineage: Bacteria; Pseudomonadati; Pseudomonadota; Gammaproteobacteria; Enterobacterales; Yersiniaceae. The record is from RNAcentral.
CCUACGGGAGGCAGCAGUGGGGAAUAUUGGACAAUGGGCGGAAGCCUGAUCCAGCAACGCCGCGUGAGGGAUGACGGCCUUCGGGUUGUAAACCUCUUUCAGUACCGACGAAGCGCAAGUGACGGUAGGUACAGAAGAAGCACCGGCCAACUACGUGCCAGCAGCCGCGGUAAUACGUAGGGUGCGAGCGUUGUCCGGAAUUAUUGGGCGUAAAGGGCUCGUAGGCGGUUUGUCGCGUCGGGAGUGAAAACGCCGUGCUUAACACGGCGCUUGCUUCCGAUACGGGCAGACUAGAGGUAUUCAGGGGAGAACGGAAUUCCUGGUGUAGCGGUGAAAUGCGCAGAUAUCAGGAGGAACACCGGUGGCGAAGGCGGUUCUCUGGGAAUGACCUGACGCUGAGGAGCGAAAGUGUGGGGAGCGAACAGGAUUAGAUACCCCGGUAGUC